GCCCUAGUAGCUCAGAGUUUAGAGCGCCGGUCUUGUAAUCCGGAGGCCGGAGGUUAAAUCCCUCCCUAGCGCU
RNAcentral lists this transfer RNA (73 nucleotides) under Glossanodon semifasciatus (deepsea smelt). Its description in RNAcentral is "tRNA-Thr". It matches the Rfam family "tRNA". From Rfam's summary of the family: Transfer RNA (tRNA) molecules are approximately 80 nucleotides in length. Their secondary structure includes four short double-helical elements and three loops (D, anti-codon, and T loops). Further hydrogen bonds mediate the characteristic L-shaped molecular structure. tRNAs have two regions of fundamental functional importance: the anti-codon, which is responsible for specific mRNA codon recognition, and the 3' end, to which the tRNAs corresponding amino acid is attached (by aminoacyl-tRNA synthetases). tRNAs cope with the degeneracy of the genetic code in two manners: having more than one tRNA (with a specific anti-codon) for a particular amino acid; and 'wobble' base-pairing, i.e. permitting non-standard base-pairing at the 3rd anti-codon position. Lineage: Eukaryota; Metazoa; Chordata; Actinopteri; Argentiniformes; Argentinidae. The record is from RNAcentral.